UUCUUCACACCAUCAUCUCUCUCUCUCUUCUUUUCCAUUUUUAUUUCAUCCUCCUUCCUCCUAACAUUCAAAAACCCUAAUCUACGUCCUCUGUAGCCACCAGAAUUAAAAUCAAAAACCCUAGAUCUGAUUAUAUAUUUCACGAUGUGGAUUCUUCUCUCAAAGGAUUCCGGUCAGCUAGGGUUUCCUCCGCAGCAACUGGUGGUGAUGAUUGAUGAUAAUAGAUAUGACGAUAGUGGUGGUUCUGGCUACGAUUAUGGUGACUCUCGGAAUUGGCCAAUUGGGGGAAGAAGACGUUGCAAUUGGAUUGCCCUUUGACUAAAAGGUAUAAUAUGCUUAACUUUCUACCCUAUUUGUGACCAUACCUAUUGUUUCUACUCGAUGUGUUAGACACCGAUUAGGGUUACCCUCUAUUUUCUUAUCUUGAUUUUUGCAUUUUUGUUGCUUAUCAAAAUUAGCCUUAAACGGGUUUCAAAUAAAAUUAAAGAGCGAGUACAAAGUACUAUAUAUAAUAACAAUCAAGCUUAUUCUAAUUUCUAGAUUUGAUUACAUGGAUAAAUUGUUUUGUUGAAUCCAGUAAAUUGUAAAUUGUCUGGUCUUUUAACUUACACUUACUUGAUGAUGUUGGUGGGUUUUUUUUCUUAUUUUUAGUUAUUAUCCUGAGUGUUUUGCUUUUAAUCUAGGGUGAACCCAUCGCGAGCCGUAAUCUGACAAUGAAUCGUGUAAAAUUGCUACCAUUAUUUAGGUACACACAAAGUUCAAUUUCGUCAUCUGUUAAGGCAUGCCCACCAGGUGUUUGUGUUUAUGUGUGAAAGAAAUGAGUCAAUGAAAUUUGUCUAAUUUAUCCGGUUGUUGAGAAGGGAUUCUCUCACCUAACUUUUCUUGAUUUGGGAUGUUGUUAGUUUGUUUUGAUUGUGUGAUCUAAUGUUUUGUUGAACAAGUGGACAGUGCUACUAAACAUGGUAUUCUUUUCGACGUUGUGCAACUACUCACUGACCUAAACUUCAUCGUUACAAAAGCAAACAUUAGUUCUGAUGGAGUUUUCAACACCAAUGAUCAAACAUGUAAUAGGCAGCUUGAAAGAGCCGGUUGAGGAUAAAAGUCAUUGAGUUCAUUCAAGUUGUUAAAAUCUCAAAAUAUGUUGUUUGGGGCGUGAUGGCCAGUCAUCGCAGGUCCACUUGAAUUCGUUGAUGCGAUGACUUUAGCAGAGGCGUGGACUGUAUCCAUUAUCUUCUUAUAAGGUCCACUUGAAUUUGCUGAUGCAAUGACUUUAGCACAGGUCCUCAACAUGCCAUUGCCACCAGAUUCAGUAUGGUUGUUUUUGUGAAUUAUAUAUGGGUAUUCAUUUUUCAAUCGGAAAGCUAUUGGGUCGGUUAAUCAGGAGUUUUGAUCUUCAUAACAAGUUUUCCUUCUCGGUGAGGUGGUAAAUUUUUUUUUUUUUGGAAAGACCGUUGGUGUCAUUCGGGUCUUAAUGACGUAGUGGAGAUUUGGAAGGCUCGGAAUGAUAAAAUCUUCAAAAGCGAAAACAGUUCGACCCCAAGGGUGUUGGAAUACAUUAAAGACACAACCUUUUGGUGGAUAUCUAGAAGAUUAAAGAUUACGGGAGUUAGCAGCUCGAAUUGGAGUUCCUUUGUGGGCAUUGACUUCGGUUAGGUGCUAGGUUUUUUUUUUCUUUGUGUGGUGUGAGGUACAGUGUAUUUUUUUUAGUCUGCGGAUGUUGCUAUGUUGUCUAUUCAUUUAUUUUUAUGUUGGGCGUUUGUAGGGUGUUAGGGGGAGUUGUCUUUUGGCUAAGCACUUUGUUUGAUUUUGGUGUGGA
This is a long non-coding RNA of Helianthus annuus (common sunflower), 1816 nucleotides long. RefSeq lists it as uncharacterized. The transcript is spliced from 4 exons. Lineage: Eukaryota; Viridiplantae; Streptophyta; Magnoliopsida; Asterales; Asteraceae. The record is from RefSeq and is a predicted model, not a curated record.